UACGGGGGGGGCAAGCGUUGUUCGGAAUUACUGGGCGUAAAGGGCGCGUAGGCGGUGCGAUAAGUCAGGCGUGAAAGGCCCGGGCUCAACCCGGGGACUGCGCUUGAUACUGUUGCGCUGUGAGUCCGGGAGAGGAUGGCGGAAUUCCCAGUGUAGAGGUGAAAUUCGUAGAUAUUGGGAAGAACACCGGUGGCGAAGGCGGCCAUCUGGACCGGCACUGACGCUGAGGCGCGAAAGCGUGGGGAGCAAACAGG
RNAcentral lists this ribosomal RNA (254 nucleotides) under uncultured bacterium. RNAcentral describes it as "partial 16S ribosomal RNA". It matches the Rfam family "Bacterial small subunit ribosomal RNA", at positions 524 to 776 of the family's 1533-position model. The record is from RNAcentral.